Molecule: ribosomal RNA, 464 nt
Filed under: uncultured bacterium
Lineage: Bacteria
Description: partial 16S ribosomal RNA
Rfam family: Bacterial small subunit ribosomal RNA
Source: RNAcentral
CUACGGGCGGCUGCAGUGGGGAAUAUUACACAAUGGGCGCAAGCCUGAUGCAGCCAUGCCGCGUGUAUGAAGAAGGCCUUCGGGUUGUAAAGUACUUUCAGCGGGGAGGAAGGGAGUAAAGUUAAUACCUUUGCUCAUUGACGCUACCCGCAGAAGAAGCACCGGCUAACUCCGUGCCAGCAGCCGCGGUAAUACGGAGGGUGCAAGCGUUAAUCGCAAUUACUGGGCGUAACGCGCACGCAGGCGGUUUGUUAAGUCAGAUGUGAAAUCCCCGGGCUCAACCUGGGAACUGCAUCUGAUACUGGCAUGCUUGAGUCUCGUAGAGGGGGGUAGAAUUCCAGGUGUAGCGGUGAAAUGCGUAGGGAUCUGGAGGAAUAACGGUGGCGAAGGCGGCCUCCUGGACGAAGACUGACGCUCAGGUGCGAAAGCGUGGGGAGCAAACAGGAUUAGAUACCCUAGUAGUC